This is a long non-coding RNA of Myotis brandtii (Brandt's bat), 542 nucleotides long. RefSeq lists it as uncharacterized. The transcript is spliced from 2 exons. NCBI's taxonomy places the organism in Eukaryota, Metazoa, Chordata, Mammalia, Chiroptera, Vespertilionidae. The record is from RefSeq and is a predicted model, not a curated record.
UUUCCCCUCAGGCCUAGUGUGCCCGCUGCGAGGGCCUCUGCGGCUCGCGGGCGCCGGCAUUUUCUGGGACGAAGGGCCCCUCAGUCCCUGGUUCUGGGACCCGAUCCCCUGGGGCUGGAGAACCGCUGUUGCACCCAAUACGGCCAGGGGUGAAAAUGACCUGUUUGUCGCCCAGAAUGCUACAGUUACGCGUAACAGAAACGGAGCAGUCGUGUCCUUACCAGCCGUCUCCUGGUUCGGCCAUGUGGGCCUUUGCUGUCCUGGGAUCUGGCACCGCUCUCCCCAGACUCCACAAGUGGCAGCCCCAGCUCCUCACCUCCGCCUUCUCUGUCUCCAGCCGCUUACCCCUGUCGAGUGGGUUCCGUCUUCUUUGCUCUGUGCACGGCCUUUCCUACCGGAUUUGCGCCCAGUGAACCGCUGUUGGGUUGAUGUCUUCCUCAUCCAUAUCUACUCGAGGCACAGUGCCUAGAGCACAAGCGUUGAAAAAUAAGGAAAUCUGAAAAACAACCACAAGAAACUUGUCGACUCCAAAAUACGAAGAA